RNAcentral lists this ribosomal RNA (253 nucleotides) under uncultured prokaryote. RNAcentral describes it as "partial 16S ribosomal RNA". It matches the Rfam family "Bacterial small subunit ribosomal RNA", at positions 524 to 776 of the family's 1533-position model. The record is from RNAcentral.
AACGUAGGAGACGAGCGUUAUCCGGAUUUACUGGGCGUAAAGCGUGUGCAGGCGGUUCGGCAAGUUGGAUGUGAAAUCUCCCGGCUCAACUGGGAGAGGUCGUUCAAUACUACCAAACUUGAGGUCAUCAGAGGAAAGCGGAAUUCCGGGUGUAGUGGUGAAAUGCGUAGAUAUCCGGAGGAACGCCAGUGGCGAAGGCGGCUUUCUGGGAUGAUCCUGACGCUCAGACACGAAAGCUAGGGGAGCGAACGGG